AAGUUCGACAAUGACGAUCUAAUCUAGAUGAAGACUUUGAGCCCAUUGUCUCGGCGCUCGUCUCAAGAGUUGAACCAGUGAACAUUGGAGAAGUAUAUGCACAGCUUCUCAAUUUUGAAA
Molecule: small nucleolar RNA, 120 nt
Filed under: Oryza brachyantha (malo sina)
Lineage: Eukaryota; Viridiplantae; Streptophyta; Magnoliopsida; Poales; Poaceae
Description: Small nucleolar RNA Z247
Rfam family: Small nucleolar RNA Z247
About the family: Z247 is a member of the C/D class of snoRNA which contain the C (UGAUGA) and D (CUGA) box motifs. Most of the members of the box C/D family function in directing site-specific 2'-O-methylation of substrate RNAs.
Source: Rfam by way of RNAcentral